AACGCACAUUGCGCCCGGCAGUAAUCUGCCGGGCAUGCCUGUCCGAGCGUCAUUUCAACCCUCGAACCUCCGUUUCCUCAGGGAAGCUCAGGGUCGGCGUUGGGGCGCUACGGCGAGUCUUCGCGACCCCCGUAGGCCCUGAAAUACAGUGGCGGUCCCGCCGCGGUUGCCUUCUGCGUAGUAAGUCUCUUUUGCAAGCUCGCAUUGGGUCCCGGCGGAGGCCUGCCGUCAAACCUAUAACUUCAGAUGGUUUGACCUCGGAUCAGGUAGGGUUACCCGCUGAACUUAA
This 289-nucleotide unclassified non-coding RNA is filed under the name uncultured fungus. RNAcentral's name for it is "partial contains 5.8S ribosomal RNA, internal transcribed spacer 2, and large subunit ribosomal RNA". Lineage: Eukaryota; Fungi. The record is from RNAcentral.